Gracilinanus agilis (Agile Gracile Mouse Opossum) is the source of this 425-nucleotide non-coding RNA. The record is from the annotation of a RefSeq genome assembly. NCBI's taxonomy places the organism in Eukaryota, Metazoa, Chordata, Mammalia, Didelphimorphia, Didelphidae.
GCACAGCUGUGAGCUCUUUGGGCCCCGACACCAUGGCCUGGCCUCUCCUCUGCCUGUCUCUGCUCUCCUUCUGCUCAGGCUCCCUCUCCCAGCUGGUGCUGACUCAGCCUCCCUCUGUCUCUGCCUCUCCGGGGAGCACAGCCAGACUCACCUGCACCCUGAGUGCUCAGCACAGCACCUACACUAUUGAUUGGUACCAGCAGAGCCCAGGAAAGCCCCCUCGGUACCUCAUGAGGGUUAAAAGUGAUGGAAGUACAGGCAGGGUUGAUGGGCUCCCUGAGCGCUUCUCUGGCUCCAGCUCUGGGGCUGAUCGAUUCCUGUCCAUCAGCAACGUCCAGCCUGAGGAUGAAGACGAUUAUUACUGCGGGGCAGGCCAUACCAUUAGUGGUCGGUAUGAAUACCACAGUGAGACAGUCAAAGGGGAA